UUGGCUUCGCGUUAUCAUCGGAGUAGAGUCAUGCAAGGCCAUGCUGGAGCUAAUCUGGUGAGCUAUUAGGUUUUAUCACUGUCCAUUUUCAAAUUCUCUUAGUGUCCUGUUUUAGAAUUUCUUUGUGUAUAACUUCUGUAUGUAAAGGAUUUUACAGGGACGAGAGCAAUAGAUGAAAUGUAUGUUGAUAGCAGCCACAUCCGCAGACUAUUUAUCAAAACUUCAAUAGUAUGCGUUAGUUUUAACAAGGCCUUCUCUAUAACCGGAUUCUUAUCAAUGGAAACAAUGAUAGCUCUUUCAAUAGGUAAGGGAGUGUUCAAGUUCAUGUGAAGUUUUUUUACAAUAGUAUUUGGUUUUGCUGUUUGUGUUAGAUUUUUGAUGUAGUUAUGUGUGGCUUGAGUUGUUUUCUGUGUGUUUGAGUUUGCUUUUGGCAGUAUGUUUGUGUUCUAUUUAUUUUAUGUGUGUUUAAAUAGCUUUGAUAAUGUUGCGUCUUAGAUUCUGCUUUUGGAUGGUGACAAGAUACAAAACAGAAAUUGUUGGCAGACUCAACC
Molecule: long non-coding RNA, 551 nt
Filed under: Brassica napus (rape)
Lineage: Eukaryota; Viridiplantae; Streptophyta; Magnoliopsida; Brassicales; Brassicaceae
Description: long non-coding RNA (BNAP_LNC024456)
Source: RNAcentral